CCUUGCCAGCCCGCUCAGAAACUCAAAGGAAUUGACGGGGCCCGCACAAGCGGUGGAGCAUGUGGUUUAAUUCGACGCAACGCGAAGAACCUUACCUGGGUUUGACAUCCCGAUCGUAUUUCCUGGAGACAGGAGAGUCAGUUCGGCUGGAUCGGUGACAGGUGCUGCAUGGCUGUCGUCAGCUCGUGUCGUGAGAUGUUGGGUUAAGUCCCGCAACGAGCGCAACCCUUGUCCUUAGUUGCCAUCAUUAAGUUGGGCACUCUAGGGAGACUGCCGGUGUUAAACCGGAGGAAGGUGGGGACGACGCCAAGUCAUCAUGGCCCUUAUGUCCAGGGCUACACACGUGCUACAAUGGCCGGUACAAAGGGUUGCGAAGCUGUGAAGUGAAGCUAAUCCCAAAAAGCCGGUCUCAGUUCGGAUUGGAGUCUGCAACUCGACUCCAUGAAGUUGGAAUCGCUAGUAAUCGCGUAUCAGCAUGACGCGGUGAAUACGUUCCCGGGCCUU
Molecule: ribosomal RNA, 504 nt
Filed under: uncultured Desulfuromonas sp.
Lineage: Bacteria; Pseudomonadati; Thermodesulfobacteriota; Desulfuromonadia; Desulfuromonadales; Desulfuromonadaceae
Description: bacterial SSU rRNA
Rfam family: Bacterial small subunit ribosomal RNA
Source: RNAcentral